Molecule: microRNA precursor, 125 nt
Filed under: Hordeum vulgare
Lineage: Eukaryota; Viridiplantae; Streptophyta; Magnoliopsida; Poales; Poaceae
Description: microRNA MIR1122
Rfam family: MIR1120/MIR1122 microRNA precursor family
Source: RNAcentral
UAUAUACUACCUCCGUCCCAAAAUUCUUGUCUUAAAUUUAUCUAGACACGGAUGUAUCUAGUGACUGGAUACAUUUGUAUCUAGACAAAUCUAAGACAAAAAUUUUGGUAGGGAGGGAGUAGUUA